UUUGGCAUUGGGCUUACGAUCAGCAAUAGCAUUACCCACAGCAUGUAGUAAGUGCGUUUUACCUAAACCAGUACCACCAUA
Photobacterium damselae subsp. piscicida DI21 is the source of this 81-nucleotide non-coding RNA. The record is from Rfam. NCBI's taxonomy places the organism in Bacteria, Pseudomonadati, Pseudomonadota, Gammaproteobacteria, Vibrionales, Vibrionaceae.